UGAGCAAUCUGCCCUUCUCAUCGGAAUAAGCGUUGGAAACGACGUCUAAUGCCGAAUACGACCUCCUUUCGCAUGAUCGGAGGUGGAAAGCUCCGGCGGAGAAGGAUGAGCUCGCGGCCUAUCAGCUAGUUGGUGUGGGUAAUGGCCCACCAAGGCGACGACGGGUAGCCGGCCUGAGAGGGUGACCGGCCACACUGGGACUGAGACACGGCCCAGACUCCGUACGGGAGGNAGCG
This 236-nucleotide ribosomal RNA is filed under the name uncultured bacterium. RNAcentral's name for it is "partial 16S ribosomal RNA". It matches the Rfam family "Bacterial small subunit ribosomal RNA", at positions 118 to 353 of the family's 1533-position model. The record is from RNAcentral.